This 468-nucleotide ribosomal RNA is filed under the name uncultured bacterium. RNAcentral's name for it is "partial 16S ribosomal RNA". It matches the Rfam family "Bacterial small subunit ribosomal RNA", at positions 28 to 507 of the family's 1533-position model. The record is from RNAcentral.
GACGAACGCUGGCGGCGUGCUUAACACAUGCAAGUCGAACGGUGAUGCUCCAGCUUGCUGGAGUGGAUCAGUGGCGAACGGGUGAGUAACACGUGAGCAACCUGCCCCAGACUCUGGAAUAAGCGCUGGAAACGGCGUCUAAUACUGGAUACGAAACUGGCCCGCAUGGGCAUGGUUUGGAAAGUUUUUCGGCUUGGGAUGGGCUCGCGGCCUAUCAGCUUGUUGGUGAGGUAAUGGCUCACCAAGGCGACGACGGGUAGCCGGCCUGAGAGGGGGACCGGCCACACUGGGACUGAGACACGGCCCAGACUCCUACGGGAGGCAGCAGUGGGGAAUAUUGCACCAUGGGCGAAAGCCUGAUGCAGCGACGCCGCGUGAGGGAUGACGGCCUUCGGGUUGUAAACCUCUUUCAGCAGGGAAGAAGCGAAAGUGACGGUACCUGCAGAAGAAGCACCGGCUAACUACGUG